Molecule: unclassified non-coding RNA, 129 nt
Filed under: rhizosphere metagenome
Description: partial ribosomal RNA internal transcribed spacer region
Source: RNAcentral
AGUAUUUUAUACUUUAACACUUGUGAACUGUAUGGGAUGGUUUAAUCUCCUCUCAAUUUAUUAUUACUAAGACUGAAUAUCACUUGAUAUAACAAUUAUAAAACUUUUAGCAACGGAUCUCUGGGCUCU